This 441-nucleotide ribosomal RNA is filed under the name uncultured bacterium. Its description in RNAcentral is "partial 16S ribosomal RNA". It matches the Rfam family "Bacterial small subunit ribosomal RNA", at positions 339 to 795 of the family's 1533-position model. The record is from RNAcentral.
CUACGGGCUGCACCAGUAAGGAAUAUUGCACAAUGGGGGAAACCCUGAUGCAGCAACGCCGCGUGGACGAAGAAGGCCUUCGGGUCGUAAAGUCCUUUUCUGAGGGAAGAGGAAGGACGGUACCUCAGGAAUAAGUCUCGGCUAACUACGUGCCAGCAGCCGCGGUAAAACGUAGGAGGGCGAGCGUUAUCCGGAUUCACUGGGCGUAAAGGGCAAGUAGGCGGUUGUUUAAGUUAGGUGUGACAUCUCUCGGCUUAACUGGGAGGGAGCGCUUAAAACUAGGCAACUAGAGGGCGGAAGAAGGGGGUAGAACUCCAAAUGUAGCGGUGGAAUGCUCAGAUAUUUGGAAGAAUACCAGUGGCGAAGGCGACCCCCCGGUCCGUGCCUGACGCUGAGAGGCGAAAGCUAGGGUAGCGAACGGGAUUAGAUACCCCGGUAGUC